CAAAUCCGGAAAACCAAGGCUGAGGCGUGAUGACGAGGCACUACGGUGCUGAAGCGACAAAUGCCCUGCUUCCAGGAAAAGCCUCUAAGCAUCAGGUAACAUCAAAUCGUACCCCAAACCGACACAGGUGGUCAGGUAGAGAAUACCAAGGCGCUUGAGAGAACUCGGGUGAAGGAACUAGGCAAAAUGGUGCCGUAACUUCGGGAGAAGGCACGCUGAUAUGUAGGUGAAGCGACUUGCUCGUGGAGCUGAAAUCAGUCGAAGAUACCAGCUGGCUGCAACUGUUUAUUAAA
This 293-nucleotide ribosomal RNA is filed under the name Escherichia coli. RNAcentral describes it as "partial 23S ribosomal RNA". It matches the Rfam family "Bacterial large subunit ribosomal RNA", at positions 1537 to 1811 of the family's 2925-position model. The record is from RNAcentral. Lineage: Bacteria; Pseudomonadati; Pseudomonadota; Gammaproteobacteria; Enterobacterales; Enterobacteriaceae.